AACGAACGCUGGCGGCAGGCUUAACACAUGCAAGUCGAGCGCCCCGCAAGGGGAGCGGCAGACGGGUGAGUAACGCGUGGGAAUCUACCGUGCCCUACGGAAUAGCUCCGGGAAACUGGAAUUAAUACCGUAUACGCCCUUAGGGGGAAAGAUUUAUCGGGGUAUGAUGAGCCCGCGUUGGAUUAGCUAGUUGGUGGGGUAGAGGCCUACCAAGGCGACGAUCCAUAGCUGGUCUGAGAGGAUGAUCAGCCACAUUGGGACUGAGACACGGCCCAAACUCCUACGGGAGGCAGCAGUGGGGAAUAUUGGACAAUGGCGCAAGCCUGAUCCAGCCAUGCCGCGUGAGUGAUGAAGGCCCUAGGGUUGUAAAGCUCUUUCACAGGUGAAGAUAAUGACGGUAACCGGAGAAGAAGCCCCGGCUAACUUCGUGCCAGCCGCCGCGGUAA
This 446-nucleotide ribosomal RNA is filed under the name uncultured bacterium. RNAcentral's name for it is "partial 16S ribosomal RNA". It matches the Rfam family "Bacterial small subunit ribosomal RNA", at positions 29 to 523 of the family's 1533-position model. The record is from RNAcentral.